This 496-nucleotide ribosomal RNA is filed under the name uncultured bacterium. RNAcentral describes it as "partial 16S ribosomal RNA". It matches the Rfam family "Bacterial small subunit ribosomal RNA", at positions 29 to 507 of the family's 1533-position model. The record is from RNAcentral.
AUGAACGCUGGCGGCGUGCCUAAUCCAUGCACGUCGAGCGAACGGACGAGAAGCUUGCUUCUCUGAUGUUAGCGGCGGACGGGUGAGUAACACGUGGAUAACCUACCUAUAAGACUGGGAUAACUUCGGGAAACCGGAGCUAAUACCGGAUAAUAUUUUGAACCGCAUGGUUCAAAAGUGAAAGACGGUCUUGCUGUCACUUAUAGAUGGAUCCGCGCUGCAUUAGCUAGUUGGUAAGGUAACGGCUUACCAAGGCAACGAUGCAUAGCCGACCUGAGAGGGUGAUCGGCCACACUGGAACUGAGACACGGUCCAGACUCCUACGGGAGGCAGCAGUAGGGAAUCUUCCGCAAUGGGCGAAAGCCUGACGGAGCAACGCCGCGUGAGUGAUGAAGGUCUUCGGAUCGUAAAACUCUGUUAUUAGGGAAGAACAUAUGUGUAAGUAACUGUGCACAUCUUGACGGUACCUAAUCAGAAAGCCACGGCUAACUACGUG